GGGCCUGUGGCGCAGUUGGGAGCGCGCCUCGUUCGCAUCGAGGAGGUCGGGGGUUCGAAUCCCCCCAGGUCCA
This 73-nucleotide transfer RNA is filed under the name Thermoleophilia bacterium. RNAcentral describes it as "tRNA-Ala". It matches the Rfam family "tRNA". From Rfam's summary of the family: Transfer RNA (tRNA) molecules are approximately 80 nucleotides in length. Their secondary structure includes four short double-helical elements and three loops (D, anti-codon, and T loops). Further hydrogen bonds mediate the characteristic L-shaped molecular structure. tRNAs have two regions of fundamental functional importance: the anti-codon, which is responsible for specific mRNA codon recognition, and the 3' end, to which the tRNAs corresponding amino acid is attached (by aminoacyl-tRNA synthetases). tRNAs cope with the degeneracy of the genetic code in two manners: having more than one tRNA (with a specific anti-codon) for a particular amino acid; and 'wobble' base-pairing, i.e. permitting non-standard base-pairing at the 3rd anti-codon position. Lineage: Bacteria; Bacillati; Actinomycetota; Thermoleophilia. The record is from RNAcentral.